GACGAACGCUGGCGGCGUGCUUAACACAUGCAAGUCGAACGGAAAGGCCUCUUUCGGGGGGUACUCGAGUGGCGAACGGGUGAGUAACACUUGAGUAACCUGCCCUUGACUUUGGGAUAACUUCAGGAAACUGGGGCUAAUACCGGAUAGGAGCUCCUGCUGCAUGGUGGGGGUUGGAAAGUUUCGGCGGUUGGGGAUGGACUCGCGGCUUAUCAGCUUGUUGGUGGGGUAGUGGCUUACCAAGGCUUUGACGGGUAGCCGGCCUGAGAGGGUGACCGGCCACAGUGGGACUGAGAUACGGCCCAGACUCCGACGGGAGGCAGCAGGGGGGAAUAUUGCACAAUGGGUGGAAGCCUGAUGCAGCAACGCCGUGGGCGGGAGGACGGCCUUCGGGUUGUAAAACGCUUUCGCUCAUGACGAAGCUUUGUGUGACGGUAGUGGGUAAAGAAGCACCGGCUAACUACGUG
Molecule: ribosomal RNA, 467 nt
Filed under: uncultured bacterium
Lineage: Bacteria
Description: partial 16S ribosomal RNA
Rfam family: Bacterial small subunit ribosomal RNA
Source: RNAcentral